GAAAUGCGAUAAGUAAUGUGAAUUGCAGAAUUCAGUGAAUCAUCGAAUCUUUGAACGCACAUUGCGCCCGCCAGUAUUCUGCGGGCAUGCCUGUCCGAGCGUCAUUUCAACCAUCAAGCCCCCGGGCUUGUGUUGGGGACCUGCGGCUGCCCACAGGCCCUGAAAACCAGUGGCGGGCUCGCUGUCACACCGAGCGUAGUAGCAAUCACCUCGCUCAGGGCGUGCUGCGGGUUCCGGCCGUUAAACAGCCUUACAAAACCCAAGGUUGACCUCGGAUCAGGUAGGAAGACCCGCUGAACUUAAGC
RNAcentral lists this unclassified non-coding RNA (305 nucleotides) under plant metagenome. Its description in RNAcentral is "partial contains 5.8S ribosomal RNA, internal transcribed spacer 2, and large subunit ribosomal RNA". The stretch from base 1 to 104 matches the Rfam family "5.8S ribosomal RNA", at positions 50 to 154 of the family's 154-position model. The record is from RNAcentral.